UUUUUCCUAGUCUUGCUGUGUCCAUCUCAGAUGGUCCCCUUCAAUACAACUAUUAGGUAGUUCCUUCUUUACAGCUUCAUGAUUUGGUUUUUCCGUUCUCAGUUUUUCCUCCUUUUCUUAUAAGUGUGAAUUCAUUUGAUUGAAAUUUUACACAUGUUUUGUGGGGACAAAACAAUCAAUUGGUUGAAGCUUAUAUCUGAUAAGUAAUAUGACUUGGUAAUAAAAUAACAUCACGACGUUUGUCAUAUUCAUAGCUCGAGAUUAUCAAUGACUCGACCGAGAGGAAAGAAAGAAAGGGAAAUCAUUGAUUUGUAAAAAACUAUAUAUUAAAGAUAUAUUUGUGAUGUUUUUCUUUUACUUUUGAGAUUUUUUAAUUCUUAUAUUUUAUAUUUUAAUUUUUUUUAGUUUUUAUAGUUUGAAAGUAAUCUUUUUAGUUUUUAUAAUUUUUAUUUUAAUUAUUUUUUAGUUUUUAUUAUAAAAAAUAUAUAUACAUAUAAUUAACUAUAAAUUAAUUAUAAAUUAUCUUAUAAUAAAUUAGUUAAAAAUUACUUGAUAAUAUUGGUAGUUAAUCAUAAUUGAUAAUAUUACUUAUAUUUUGAUGAUAAGAAUUAAAAGAAAAUUAAAAUAUAAAAUAUAGUGAUUAAAAAGAUUAUUUUCAAACUAUUGAGACUAAUAUAUUAUUAAAAUACAAAUUAUAAAAUCUAAAAAAAUUACUUUGAAAUAAACUAAAAAAAGAAAAAUAUAAAUUAUAGAAACUUAAAAAAAUUAAUUUAAAACUAUAAAAAUUAAAAGGUAAAAUUAUAAAAAUCAAAUAAGUAAUUAAACCUUAAUGUAUUAAUGUUACGAAGCAUGCUUUGAUUUCUCCACUUUCCAUUAGAAAAUCCUUUGCACAAAUCAAAUCAUCCACUUAUUCUGGUUUUCCUUCAUAGUCACAAAAUAUGACUCUUAACUUCUACUCAUAAAUGUGCAAAAAUCUAUAUAAAUAACUUUAUAUAAAUUUAAUUUAGUGCAAUCUAUUCAAAUGAAACUGGAUACAUGCGGUUGAAUUCAGAUAUAACACCAACAUCUAUGUGGAUAAAGCAUCAACAGUACUGUUCAUUCCAUAAUUGAUUUUUUGAUUUGUUAUGUAGGGAAAGAAGUGAGAUGUCAAUUUUAAAUUCUUCUCCAAUACGAAAUUAAACAUAUAAAAAUAUAUUUAAAAUCAAUUCUUGACUAAUAAAUUUCUUAACAUCAAAUCAAACGCAUAUUAUAUUGCCUUAUUCACUUUGAAAAGAAAACAAAAAACUCAAUUUCUUAGUCAUUGUUUGAUUUUUCUAUAAAGAAAAAUGAAAGGCUUCAUUUUGAUUUAGUUUAUGAAUAAAUAAUAUAGCUAUAAAUUAUAGCUAUAAGCUUGGUUAUUAAUUGUUCUAACUUCGGAACAGACAUACAUACACUACAUCACCCAAAAACAAGAACAAGGUGGAACAAGAUUAAUUUCUAAUAUUAUAUUACAUUGAAGUGGAUCUCUCCUCAAUAAAUAAAUAGUAGUAAAAAGUCGAAAAGUGGUACUUAUAAUUAUAAUAAAAAUAAUUAUUAAAAAUUCAUAUUUCUAACACAAAUUUACUCAAUAAUCUCUGGGAAGUUUCAGUUACAGUUACACUUACGUUUGUUGACUUGACAUUGAGAAAAACUAGAUAAUUGACUGCAUAUUUUUCCUAGUCUUGCUGUGUCCAUCUCAGAUGGUCCCCUUCAAUACAAGUAUUAGGUGGUUCCUUCUUUACAGCUUCAUGAUUUGGUUUUUCUGUUCUCAGUUUUUCCUCCUUUUCUUAUAAGUGUGAAUUCAACUUUGACUUUUAGUAACGUUUCCUGAUAUUUUCCUUUAUAACCCUUGAAUAACAUUAUCAAGUAUUUUCCUAUGAAUUAGUGUCCCCGUUGUUUCGCUGUAUUGG
Molecule: long non-coding RNA, 1928 nt
Filed under: Glycine max (soybean)
Lineage: Eukaryota; Viridiplantae; Streptophyta; Magnoliopsida; Fabales; Fabaceae
Description: long non-coding RNA (GMAX_LNC001451)
Source: RNAcentral